This 628-nucleotide unclassified non-coding RNA is filed under the name Hevea brasiliensis (rubber tree). Lineage: Eukaryota; Viridiplantae; Streptophyta; Magnoliopsida; Malpighiales; Euphorbiaceae. The record is from RNAcentral.
AAUAAAAAUAAAAUAAAAUAAUAAAUAAAAAAGAGAAGGAAGAAAGAUUUAAACCAAAAAAUAAAAAAGAAAAAGGAGGGAAAUCGUUCCCUUCUUCCAAUAUUGUUCUGGAAAUUACUUGUGUUGGUUUGAAUGUAUUUAGAAAAAUUACAGAUGAUGCUGAUUAAUUUUCCGACUUCUUAUAAUAAUUGUCCGAUUUCCAACACAGUUCUGCAGCAUAUAAAAUAUUUCAUCAGGUAACUUAUGAAUUAAAGAAUAGGAAUGCUACAGGUGUGUUCUCUAAAUGGGGGACUAUAUAAAAUCAUUGAACAAACUUUUGCUAGUAGAAUAAAUCAAAUAAAUAUAUCAACCCAAAAAAAAAAUGAACAUGACCUUUGACUGCCUCAAAUGGACCCACCAGGUUUCUUUUCUUCUGUUGCUUACAAUGCUCUUAAGGGGUGUAUACAUUCGUCCUCUGAAGCUUUCAGUCAUGGAAGUCAGUCUGUGCAUCACAGCUUGAACAACAAGUAAGACAUUCAAGUUUUGCUUGGAAUUCUAUGGUCACUGUACUGUACUUGAGUUACUAGGGCCUAGCAAAUCAUCACAAUUUGUUCCCUCGCAAAGACACUCUUGAGGGUUUGCAUAAAAA